UGCAUGUUGUCAUAUAGGAAUAUAUUGUUUAUUAAUAAACAGCACACAGUGGUCCCGCUCAUCCGUCACUGCCUCGCUUUUUCGCUGAUUUUUCAUUGCACCGUACAGCAUUGCAUUCUGCAGCCUGAUUGACAAAUCUCCUCCGUGUCGUGUCUCCUGCGCUUGCCAAAUUGAUCAUGUUUGGUUUUGAUAACCAUCACGUCCAAUAGAAAAAACAGCACAAAAACGCUCAUAACUAUGACCCUCAUUCGGAAAUAGACACCUGCACCGGGAGGAAAAGGAAAAGGCGCACGAAAGUGGCGGGCAGAUGAAGACAAAACGCGGCAUAAAAAUACUUUUACGUUUUGCAAUCUACAAAGAACCAACUGAUUCUGCUGCAGAGCAUCCCCUGUUGCUUCUCCUGGCUCCCCAGUCCCUGAGCUCCUGCUGCUGCACCCACAGAGAGGAGGACAGCUCCGAGGCAGAUGAGGGACGGGUCCCAGGACGGUCCAUCGGCAGUGGAGCUGGCCAUCCUGGUGUCCCUGAAGAGGCCACGCCAGUCUGCAAUGGAGCAUUUCCUCCUCAGCCUUGUUCCUGCUCUGGAGAGCAGCUGGGUCUUUUUUUUUUUUAUU
Long non-coding RNA from Oreochromis aureus, 611 nucleotides. The record is from Ensembl. Lineage: Eukaryota; Metazoa; Chordata; Actinopteri; Cichliformes; Cichlidae.